GGCUUCGUAGCUCAGUUGGUAGAGCGCUUGCCUCGUUGAGGUAUGGUGUUUCUGUCGCUAUUUCGAGUCCAGUCGAAGCCC
Molecule: non-coding RNA, 81 nt
Organism: Paragonimus skrjabini miyazakii
Lineage: Eukaryota; Metazoa; Platyhelminthes; Trematoda; Plagiorchiida; Troglotrematidae
Source: the annotation of a GenBank genome assembly